RNAcentral lists this small nuclear RNA (113 nucleotides) under Sorex araneus (European shrew). RNAcentral's name for it is "U4atac minor spliceosomal RNA (ENSSARG00000020020.1)". Lineage: Eukaryota; Metazoa; Chordata; Mammalia; Eulipotyphla; Soricidae. The record is from RNAcentral.
AUUUUUCUGGGCCAAGGGCAUGCCGGUUGCGCUACUGUCCAAUGAACGUCUAUUGAGGACAGUACUGCUAACACCUAAACAACACGCUCGCAUCAGUCUCUGUUUUUGGAAUC